GUGAGGAAUUUUCCGCAAUGGGCGAAAGCCUGACGGAGCAAUGCCGCGUGAAGGAUGAAGGCCUAUGGGUUGUAAACUUCUUUUCUCAGAAAAGAAUUAUGACGGUAUCUGAGGAAUAAGCAUCGGCUAACUCUGUGCCAGCAGCCGCGGUAAGACAGAGGAUGCAAGGGUUAUCCGGAAUGAUUGGGCGUAAAGCGUCUGUAGGUUGUUUAAAAAGUAUUCUGUCAAAGAUUAGGGCUUAACCCUAGAUAGGCAGAAUAAACUUUUAAGCUAGAGUUUGGUAGAGGCAGAGGGAAUUCCCGGUGGAGCGGUGAAAUGCGUAGAUAUCGGGAGGAACACCAAAGGCGAAGGCACUCUGCUGGGCCAAUACUAACACUGAGAGACGAAAGCGAGGGGAGCAAAUGGGAUUAGAAACCCGUGUAGUCC
This 426-nucleotide ribosomal RNA is filed under the name uncultured bacterium. RNAcentral describes it as "partial 16S ribosomal RNA". It matches the Rfam family "Bacterial small subunit ribosomal RNA", at positions 354 to 796 of the family's 1533-position model. The record is from RNAcentral.